Molecule: ribosomal RNA, 397 nt
Filed under: uncultured bacterium
Lineage: Bacteria
Description: bacterial SSU rRNA
Rfam family: Bacterial small subunit ribosomal RNA
Source: RNAcentral
AAGUCUUGACAUCCUGCGACGAGUACAGAAAUGUGCUUUUCCUUCGGGACGCAGAGACAGGUGGUGCAUGGUUGUCGUCAGCUCGUGUCGUGAGAUGUUGGGUUAAGUCCCGCAACGAGCGCAACCCUUAUGGAUAGUUACUACGCAAGAGGACUCUAUUCAGACUGCCGUUGACAAAACGGAGGAAGGUGGGGAUGACGUCAAAUCAUCAUGCCCUUUAUGACUUGGGCUACACACGUACUACAAUGGCGUUCAACAAAGAGAAGCGAAGCCGCGAGGCAGAGCAAAACUCAAAAACAACGUCCCAGUUCAGAUUGCAGGCUGCAACUCGCCUGCAUGAAGUCGGAAUUGCUAGUAAUCGCAGAUCAGCAUGCUGCGGUGAAUACGUUCCCGGGCC